ACGCUCGACACCUACGGGCAGCAGUCGGGAAUAUUGCGCAAUGGAGGAAACUCUGACGCAGUGACGCCGCGUGCAGGAAGAAGGUUUUCGGAUUGUAAACUGCUUUAGACAGGGAAGAAAGAAAUGACAGUACCUGUAGAAUAAGCUCCGGCUAACUACGUGCCAGCAGCCGACGGUAAUCUGAGGCGGGCGUGGACGAAGGC
Molecule: ribosomal RNA, 203 nt
Filed under: uncultured bacterium
Lineage: Bacteria
Description: partial 16S ribosomal RNA
Rfam family: Bacterial small subunit ribosomal RNA
Source: RNAcentral